CAGCGAACACAUAACACAUUCAUCGGACGAAGAAUAAAUGUUCGACUUAGCCGAAGAUUUAGAUUCUUCAUUGUCAUCUUGCGGUACCUCAAGGCUUCAACCCUCUCUUGUCGAAGAGUUUGGUUUAGGGGAAACUACUCCGACUAAUGCCACUGGUUGUGACGACAACUGCCCAACCUCUAUAGCGUUGCGUGAGAGAAUUGCAGCAUUAGAGGCAGAGAAUAAAACCCUCAAACAGGAAUUAGCACUGCAUCAGGUUCCAGGUUAUCCGGAAUAUUACAACAUCACAUACGACGUUGACACGGCUGUGUAUGUCUUCAAGUUGCUGAAGGACUUCAGCAAGGGUGACCUGAAGAUUCUUGUACAAUAAGGGGAUGGUUGAUGGUUUUAGCUCCUGUUGUCUCGCAUGGAUGAUCAGACCAAGGUUGCGGUAUGUCGAAGGAUGAACCAUGUACAUGUGCGUUAUAGGGGGGAGAGGGCCGUAUGACGGGGAGCAGCAUGAGGACAUUAGGGACCAACGAAGUUUUUAUAUGAAACCAGACUAUGAGAGAGUUAAACUUGUGUUGUUGUUAGAAUUAUUUUUAUGAGUUGGUGUAAUUUUGUUGUCUCGUUUUUAUUUUUGGUGUUAAAUAACUCACACAUUUUUAAUGUAUUUGGUCGUUUAUAAAAAUAAGGUUUAAGAAGCCUUUUUCGAUCGGCAUAACCAUUAAAUUGUUGGCAUUCUAAUAAGUAAUGAAAUUCAUCCCCAAUUUUGUUACAGGUUGUACAGAUUCUUAAAUCUAUAGGUGUUCUGUUCCAAUUUCCAAAUUCAGAACUUCAGUCGGUAGCCUGUGGUUUCUUGUCCUGAUUCUGAUUACAAAUUUUAGACAGGCAUGUGGUGUGUUUACUAAAUAUGAUUCAAAGCUGAGAUUUCUUUUAAUCAGUUUAUAGAAAGUACUCUUACUACAGUUUUCAAUUCAUGAUAACCAUUCAUUUAUAAACAGGUCUUUAAGUUUUUGCUUAACAAGUAUUUUAAGCCAGUCAAUGCUAGGAUAACUUUGUGAGCUCCACACAUGCAUAAUUCCACAUGUUAUUAAAAUUGAUUUGUCAUUGAACAACCAGGGAUAAAGGCGUG
This is a long non-coding RNA of Dreissena polymorpha, 1114 nucleotides long. RefSeq lists it as uncharacterized. NCBI's taxonomy places the organism in Eukaryota, Metazoa, Mollusca, Bivalvia, Myida, Dreissenidae. The record is from RefSeq and is a predicted model, not a curated record. The transcript is spliced from 6 exons.